CCUACGGGGGGCAGCAGUAGGGAAUCUUUCACAAUGGGCGAAAGCCUGAUGGAGCAACGCCGCGUGAAGGAAGAAGGCUUUCGGGUUGUAAACUUCUUUUCUCAGGGACGAAGCAAGUGACGGUACCUGAGGAAUAAGCCACGGCUAACUACGUGCCAGCAGCCGCGGUAAUACGUAGGUGGCAAGCGUUAUCCGGAUUUACUGGGUGUAAAGGGUGUGUAGGCGGGAAAGCAAGUCAGAUGUGAAAACCAUGGGCUCAACCUGUGGCCUGCAUUGGAAACUGUUUUUCUUGAGUACUGGAGAGGCAGACGGAAUUCCUAGUGUAGCGGUGAAAUGCGUAGAUAUUAGGAGGAACACCAGUGGCGAAGGCGGUCUGCUGGACAGCAACUGACGCUGAGGCGCGAAAGCGUGGGGAGCAAACAGGAUUAGAUACCCGGGUAGUC
This 443-nucleotide ribosomal RNA is filed under the name uncultured bacterium. RNAcentral describes it as "partial 16S ribosomal RNA". It matches the Rfam family "Bacterial small subunit ribosomal RNA", at positions 338 to 795 of the family's 1533-position model. The record is from RNAcentral.